AUGGUGAAACCUCUCACUCACAUGUGAAGUAGAGACAGGGUUUCACCACGUUGGCCAGGCUGGUCUCACAUUCCUGAGCUCCAGCUUACUGGCUGUCUAACGCUGCUCUCCCUGAGCCUCGAUGUUGAAGUAUCCAGGUCAGCGGUUCACGUUCAUUGUUCAGUCGUCCCCACCGUCCAUCUCCAGAAACUUUUCAUCUUCCCCAACGGCUGCUCUGUGCCCAUGAAACACUGGCUCCUCAUCCUCCGGCCCCUGGCAUCCCCAUUCUACUUUCUUUCCCCAUGAGUUUGCCCUGGGGACCUCAUACAAGUGGAAUCAGACAGUGUCCUGGCAUGUCGUAUGUUGGAGAUUUUCUUUUUAUGGUGAAAAGAUAUACAUAUAUUUUGAAUUAGCCAGCCGGA
Molecule: small RNA, 401 nt
Filed under: Pongo abelii (Sumatran orangutan)
Lineage: Eukaryota; Metazoa; Chordata; Mammalia; Primates; Hominidae
Description: processed transcript
Source: RNAcentral